AACGAACGUUGGCGGCGUGGAUGAGGCAUGCAAGUCGAACGCGAAAGCCGCAAGGCGAGUAAAGUGGCGGACGGGCGAGUAACACGUAAUCAAGCUACCUGCGAGACGGGGAUAACUUCGGGAAACCGAAGCUAAGACCCGAUGGUCUUCUAGGAACGCAUGUUCCAUGAAGUAAAUGGGCGGGAUCCUCCGGGAUCGCCUGCUCGCAGAGGUGAUUGCGGCCCAUCAGCUAGUUGGUAGGGUAAUGGCCUACCAAGGCAACGACGGGUAGCCGGCCUUAGAGGGUGGUCGGCCGCACUGGGACUGAGACACUGCCCAGACUCCUACGGGAGGCUGCAGUCGAGAAUCUUCCGCAAUGGGCGAAAGCCUGACGGAGCGACGCCGCGUGGAGGAUGAAGGCC
Molecule: ribosomal RNA, 401 nt
Filed under: uncultured bacterium
Lineage: Bacteria
Description: bacterial SSU rRNA
Rfam family: Bacterial small subunit ribosomal RNA
Source: RNAcentral